CACUCUAGAGAGACUGCCAGGGAUAACCUGGAGGAAGGUGGGGAUGACGUCAAAUCAUCAUGCCCCUUAUGCUUAGGGCUACACACGUGCUACAAUGGGUAGUACAGAGGGUUGCCAAGCCGUAAGGUGGAGCUAAUCCCUUAAAGCUACUCUCAGUUCGGAUUGUAGGCUGAAACUCGCCUACAUGAAGCUGGAGUUACUAGUAAUCGCAGAUCAGAAUGCUGCGGUGAAUGCGUUCCCGGGUCUUGUACACACCGCCCGUCACACCACGGGAGUUGGAGACGCCCGAAGCCGAUUAUCUAACCUUUUGGAAGAAGUCGUCGAAGGUGGAAUCAAUAACUGGGGUGAAGUCGUAACAAGGUAGCCGUAUCGGAAGGUGCGGCUGGAUCACCUCCUUUCUAAGGAGA
RNAcentral lists this ribosomal RNA (407 nucleotides) under Clostridioides difficile. RNAcentral's name for it is "bacterial SSU rRNA". It matches the Rfam family "Bacterial small subunit ribosomal RNA", at positions 1136 to 1533 of the family's 1533-position model. The record is from RNAcentral. Lineage: Bacteria; Bacillati; Bacillota; Clostridia; Peptostreptococcales; Peptostreptococcaceae.